AACGAACGCUGGCGGCAGGCUUAACACAUGCAAGUCGAACGGGUGCAGCAAUGCAUCAGUGGCAGACGGGUGAGUAACACGUGGGAACCUUCCUAGGGGUACGGAACAACUCAGGGAAACUUGAGCUAAUACCGUAUACGUCCGUAAGGAGAAAGAUUCAUCGCCCCUAGACGGGCCCGCGUCGGAUUAGGUAGUUGGUGGGGUAACGGCCUACCAAGCCUACGAUCCGUAGCUGAUCUGAGAGGAUGAUCAGCCACACUGGGACUGAGACACGGCCCACGACUCCUACGGGAGGCAGCAGUGGGGAAGUCUUGGACAAUGGGCGCAAGCCUGAUCCAGCCAUGCCGCGUGAGUGAAGAAGGCCUUAGGGUUGUAAAGCUCUUUUGGCGGGACGAUGAUGACGGUACCCGCAGAAUAAGCCCCGGCUAACUUCGUGCCAGCCGCCGCAGUAAG
Molecule: ribosomal RNA, 453 nt
Filed under: uncultured bacterium
Lineage: Bacteria
Description: bacterial SSU rRNA
Rfam family: Bacterial small subunit ribosomal RNA
Source: RNAcentral